RNAcentral lists this transfer RNA (71 nucleotides) under Cyphobasidiales sp. Tagirdzhanova-0007. RNAcentral's name for it is "tRNA-Gly". It matches the Rfam family "tRNA". From Rfam's summary of the family: Transfer RNA (tRNA) molecules are approximately 80 nucleotides in length. Their secondary structure includes four short double-helical elements and three loops (D, anti-codon, and T loops). Lineage: Eukaryota; Fungi; Basidiomycota; Cystobasidiomycetes; Cyphobasidiales. The record is from RNAcentral.
GCAUCGUUGGUUCAGGGGUAGAAUCCUGCUUUGCCAUAGCAGGGGCCUGGGUUCAAGUCCCAGACGAUGCA